Molecule: long non-coding RNA, 424 nt
Organism: Ictalurus punctatus (channel catfish)
Lineage: Eukaryota; Metazoa; Chordata; Actinopteri; Siluriformes; Ictaluridae
Source: Ensembl
CAGAUGUAAGUUGAGUCGGUGACAGAUCAGUAUUGACUCAAUAUUGACUGUACUGGAUAAGUACUGAAUCUGUAUUGGAUCAGAAUUUAAUCAUUAGGUCAGUACUGAAUCUGUAUUAGAUCAGUAUUGAAUCAUCAUUAGGUCAGUACUGAAUCUGUAUUAGAUCAGUAUUGAAUUAUCAUUAGGUCAGUACUGAAUCUGUAUUAUAUCAGUAUUGAAUCAACAUUAGGUCAGUAUUGAAUCUGUAUUAGAUCAGUAUUGAAUCAUCAUUAGGUCAGUACUGAAUCUGUAUUAGAUCAGUAUUGAAUCAACAUUAGGUCAGUACUGAAUCUGUAUUAGAUCAGUAUUGAAUCAUCAUUAGGUCAGUACUGAAUCUGUAUUAGAUCAGUAUUGAAUCAUCAUUAGGUCAGUGCUGAAUCUGUGU